UACGUAGGGCGCAAGCGUUGUCCGGAAUUAUUGGGCGUAAAGAGCUCGUAGGCGGCUUGUCACGUCGGGUGUGAAAGCCCGGGGCUUAACCCCGGGUCUGCAUUCGAUACGGGCUAGCUAGAGUGUGGUAGGGGAGAUCGGAAUUCCUGGUGUAGCGGUGAAAUGCGCAGAUAUCAGGAGGAACACCGGUGGCGAAGGCGGAUCUCUGGGCCAUUACUGACGCUGAGGAGCGAAAGCUAGGGGAGCAAACGGG
This 253-nucleotide ribosomal RNA is filed under the name uncultured bacterium. RNAcentral describes it as "partial 16S ribosomal RNA". It matches the Rfam family "Bacterial small subunit ribosomal RNA", at positions 524 to 776 of the family's 1533-position model. The record is from RNAcentral.